Molecule: long non-coding RNA, 2418 nt
Organism: Neofelis nebulosa (Clouded leopard)
Lineage: Eukaryota; Metazoa; Chordata; Mammalia; Carnivora; Felidae
Exons: 3
Source: RefSeq, a predicted model, not a curated record
AUCACCUGGAAGGACAGGUAGGAGCACUGGGUGAGUGUCUCCCGGGAACACUGGGGUGCCAAAGGACUCCCAGAAAAUGGGGACUUAGCAGAUGCCGGGAGAGGUGCCAUAGCCCCUGAGAAUGGCAGAUUUGGGGUGGGGGUCCUUCUGGCCGGGGCUGAAGCUGGCUGUGGCUUGAAGACCCAGUGGCUCUUGGGCCGUGAUCUAGAUGAGUAACUUCCCAACCCUGCCCUCCUCUGUGUCCUUCUGUGACCAGACGUGCUGUAUCAAAGUCUUGGAUACAAAGAUCAACUCUACUCUGUGCCACCCUCAAGGACAACAGCGAUUAGCUCUUUGGGGACCCCACUCCCCAACCCAUAUCCCAGGAGAGAGAACAUUUCAGGUCCCCCAGCCUCACCAGAGAGCUCGUGUAGGUGGGGUCAGAAGAGUUCUCCUCCAGGAAGCGGGAAAGCCCGAAGUCGGAAACCUUGCAGACAAGGUUGCUGUUGACCAGGAUAUUACGGGCAGCCAGGUCUCGGUGGACGUAGCUCAUCUCAGCCAGGUACCGCAUGCCUGAGGCGAUGCCCCGCAACAUGCCCACCAGCUGGAUGACGGUGAACUGCCCGUCGUUCAGCUGGAGACCAGACGAGGGAGAGGGCACCAUCAGGCCAGCGCACCUGCCAUCCCCCCUUCCUUCCGCUGACCUCCCAGGCUCCGCGCCCAGGACAGAGCCCAGUGCAGGGCUUGAACUCAGGAUCCUGAGAUCAAGACCUGAGCCGAGAUCAAGAGUCAGAUACUUAACUGAUUGAGCAGCCCAGGCGCCCCUACUAUGUUCUUUUUAUUUGGAGGCAACAGAGUGGCGACAGUUGAGGUGUGCCCUAAACUACCUGUCUACAGGUGCAGAUGCACUUGUGCUGACCCAAAGAAAGCUUGCUCAGCCCUCUUGGACCAGCUGUGUGUAGCCUGCAACACAGCAGUGAAAAACUGGGUGCGAUCAAUGAACACGGCGCCAAAGCCAAGACCUAAAGCCUGACCUUGACCUUUACAGAGUCUGCUCUCACUGGAUCAGCCAAACAGUUACAGUGGACAAAUCCCAUCCUCUGGAUUCAGCAAGCACGCAGGGGACCCUUGGCAGCCAUGUAGGGCCAGGGCCAGAGUCCAAACCCUGAAUUCUGAACCCUCCUCUAAGCCUGCCCCUGUCCCACACCUCAAAACUCAGCUUGCAGAAACGCCGCUGGCCAGAUGCUCGGGGCAGACGCCAGGGUUCUCUGCGAUUCCUCUCUUCCUCACCUGCCACUUACAAUCCAUCAGCAGGUUCUGCUGGCCCUGCCUCCAAACCACGUCCCGAAUCCAGCCACUUCUCCCCAUCCUGCUGCAACUGCUGUGCCCCAAAGGAGUGCGAGUCUCCCCACUGGCUCUUGGCUCUUGGCUCUUGCCUCCCAGCACACCAAAGGGAGCUCCUAAAGUCACCUCUCUUGCCGAAAUCCCUCCAAAGGCUUCCCCUUGAACUUCUAAUCAAAUCCAAACUCCUUACUAAGGCCAUGAGGCCCACGUGCUUCUCCUCCAUCUGCUCCUGGCUGGCUCUCUCUCAUCUACCCAAAUGUCAGCCCAAAUGUCCUCUCUUCUUCUUCUUCUUUUUUAAAUGUAAUCUCUACACCCAACGUGGAGCUUGAACUCACAACCUCGAGAUCAAGAGUCGCAUGCUCCACCGACUGAGCCAGCCAGGCACCCCAAAUGUCAUCUCUUCUAAAAUAGACCCUCCCUCCCUCUCUUGGCAACCAGACCUUUGUAUGGUACCAAGGAACAGAAGCUUGUGUCCACAAGGAAGGGUCAGGCCGCCAUCACACUACCCCAAGGCCUGCCUCAGCAUCUCUCCUGAUGAGAGCCAGAUAGCCUGUCUCUGGAUGGGGUGUCAUGUAAGGUACACAGCACCCCCGAUGUAGGCUGGCCACACGUAUUUACUUUUAAACUUAUCAGAACAUUAAAUCUAUCUUCUCUUAAAGGAAGUGGAGAAACAAUGACCUCAUAGGGAAGAAGCUGAUAAAUCCAGAAGGUGAGACAUUCAAAGGAAUAAGAGGCCCAGCUUUUCAGAAUGUCAGUGUGUCACAACAAAGAAUGGUCCUGGAUUUAGAAGAGGCUCAAAAAAAUAACCACCAGGAAAAACAAAACACAAUAAAACAAACAAACAAAACCACUAAGUGCAAUGCUUGAACUAGAUCCUGGUUUGGAGGAACCAGGAGGAAGGAGACAUCUGGGGGACACCUAGGGAAAUGUGAAUAUUGACUGGGUACCGGAUGAUCCCGAGGAAGCAUCAUAAUUCUGUUAAAUGCAAUAUCUUGCUCUGUAGGAAAAUGCAUUUUUUCCCCCAAAAAAGAUGUAAAAUUAAAAAAUAAAAUAAAAUCCAGUGAAGCCUGUUAAAGUGAUGAAAAUUAAAAGAAA